CAGGCAGCGACGUCACUAAAGCUAACUGUAUACACUUUGGUGAAGAUCAGACAUUGUGAAUUCAAGGCUGUCCGUAUGUGCAUGGGUGUACGGCCCCAUUCACUGGAGUACUGACAACCUAUUAUGGACCACAUCAUGUGAGAAGAUUGACUCUCCCAUCAGCUGCCAAUAGCAUGGGGAAAACUGAUAUGUAACUAGGACUCCUAAGAAGCCUUAGAGCUUUCCCAUAAUGACAUGCUGUCUUGGACAUUUCCGGAGAGGCUGCACAGCAAAAGAGACAAUGGCACGGAUAGUCUCAGAGAAUAAACAAG
Molecule: long non-coding RNA, 311 nt
Organism: Mesocricetus auratus (golden hamster)
Lineage: Eukaryota; Metazoa; Chordata; Mammalia; Rodentia; Cricetidae
Exons: 3
Source: RefSeq, a predicted model, not a curated record